This 72-nucleotide transfer RNA is filed under the name Heliconius melpomene (postman butterfly). RNAcentral describes it as "tRNA HMEL013049". Lineage: Eukaryota; Metazoa; Arthropoda; Insecta; Lepidoptera; Nymphalidae. The record is from RNAcentral.
UCGGCCCUGUGGCGCAACGGAUAACGCGUCUGACUACGGAUCAGAAGAUUCCAGGUUCGAAUCGGGUUUGAA